RNAcentral lists this ribosomal RNA (253 nucleotides) under uncultured bacterium. RNAcentral's name for it is "partial 16S ribosomal RNA". It matches the Rfam family "Bacterial small subunit ribosomal RNA", at positions 524 to 776 of the family's 1533-position model. The record is from RNAcentral.
UACGAAGGGGGCUAGCGUUGUUCGGAAUCACUGGGCGUAAAGCGCACGUAGGCGGAUCUUUAAGUCAGGGGUGAAAUCCUGGAGCUCAACUCCAGAACUGACUUUGAUACUGAGGAUCUUGAGUUCGGGAGAGGUGAGUGGAACUGCGAGUGUAGAGGUGAAAUUCGUAGAUAUUCGCAAGAACACCAGUGGCGAAGGCGGCUCACUGGCCCGAUACUGACGCUGAGGCACGAAAGCGUGGGGAGCAAACAGG